AGAACGAACGCUGGCGGCAUGCCUAACACAUGCAAGUCGAACGCUUUUGGGGCUUCGGUCCCAAAGGAGUGGCGCACGGGUGAGUAGCGCGUGGGAACCUGCCCUGUUGUGGGGGAUAACCGAGGGAAACUUCGGCUAAUACCGCAUACGCCCGGGGGAAACUCCGGGGAAAGAUUUAUCGCAGCAGGAGGGGCCCGCGUCGGAUUAGGUAGUUGGUGGGGUAACGGCCCACCAAGCCUGUGAUCCGUAGCUGGUCUGAGAGGAUGAUCAGCCACACUGGGACUGAGACACGGCCCAGACUCCUACGGGAGGCAGCAGUGGGGAAUAUUGGACAAUGGGCGCAAGCCUGAUCCAGCAAUGCCGCGUGAGUGAUGAAGGCCUUCGGGUUGUAAAGCUCUUUUGGCGGGGACGAUGAUGACGGUACCCGCAGAAUAAGCCCCGGCUAACUUCGUGCCAGCAGCCGC
RNAcentral lists this ribosomal RNA (464 nucleotides) under uncultured bacterium. Its description in RNAcentral is "SSU rRNA". It matches the Rfam family "Bacterial small subunit ribosomal RNA", at positions 26 to 518 of the family's 1533-position model. The record is from RNAcentral.